RNAcentral lists this ribosomal RNA (119 nucleotides) under Helianthus annuus (common sunflower). The record is from RNAcentral. Lineage: Eukaryota; Viridiplantae; Streptophyta; Magnoliopsida; Asterales; Asteraceae.
GGUUGCGAUCAUACCAGCACUAAUGCACCGGAUCCUAUCAGGACUCCGCAGUUAAGCGUGCUUGGGCGAGAGUAGUACUAGGAUGGGUGACCCCCUGGGAAGUCCUCGUGUUGCAACCC